CAAGAAGGUCGGGCAAUCGCGGGCCGGGGUGACCCGGUUCGAGGAAAGUCCGGGCACUGCAGAGCAGAAUGCCAGCUAACGGCUGGGCGGCGUGAGCCGACGGAAAGUGCCACAGAAAACGUACCGCCGGGCAACCGGUAAGGGUGAAAAGGUGCGGUAAGAGCGCACCGCGCAGCGGGUAACCGUCUGCGGCAGGGUAAACCCCAUUCAGUGCAAGACCAAAUAGGAAAACAGGCUCGUUUCGCACGGGCACGGUGUGGCUCGCACCGGGUUUUCGGGUAGGUCGCUUGAGGCUGGCAGUGAUGCCAUGCCCAGAUGAAUGGUUGCCGCCUGGUGACAGGACAGAACCCGGCUUAUAGACCUUCUUGCCUU
RNAcentral lists this RNase P RNA (372 nucleotides) under Thiomicrospira sp. WB1. RNAcentral's name for it is "Bacterial RNase P class A". It matches the Rfam family "Bacterial RNase P class A". Rfam says of the family: Ribonuclease P (RNase P) is a ubiquitous endoribonuclease, found in archaea, bacteria and eukarya as well as chloroplasts and mitochondria. Its best characterised activity is the generation of mature 5'-ends of tRNAs by cleaving the 5'-leader elements of precursor-tRNAs. The record is from Rfam by way of RNAcentral. Lineage: Bacteria; Pseudomonadati; Pseudomonadota; Gammaproteobacteria; Thiotrichales; Piscirickettsiaceae.